UUCUGACACAUUUAACGCCUGGAUUUCUCGUGAUCCCAUUGGCUGCACGGUAUGGCCAUUUGGAUUUUUUUUUGACGGUGUUUCUUCAGGGACACGCCCUGCAGGCGUUUUCCGCUUUGCACAGGAAGAGGCAGGAUGAGGGGAUGAUGCAAGGCUAGGGGCGGGUCGGCUUGGCUGCUACCCGGAAGGCCGCCGGCCGCGUGACGGAGCGAGAAGCUUUAUACCGCCUAAUUUUGGCUCAGGCGCCAUGUGGAGGAAACAACAAAUCCACCUUAAAGUCAUUUGCUUACUUCUAUAUGUUGUGCAAAUGGUACCGGACCCCUGCCCCAGCCAAUGUCAACAGGAAAUCUCUAUCUCUGUGCCUGAGGGUGGUGACAUGCAACACCCCCUUAACAUCUCGGAGCGCUUUGCCAUGCUGUACUGGUCCCCCGCUUUGGCUGGGACAUGGAUGAAGAUAGCUGUCAUCCAUUCAGGGAAAUCAAACCCUUACAACAGCUCCUUCGCCAGGCACAUCUCCGUGUCCAAGGGACGGUUCAUUGUGACGAACGCCAGCAAAGCCAUUGCAGGGAAUUUGAAGAUUGUGCAUGAGAUGGAUGAAAGGGAGUGUCUGGCUUCCAUCCGUCUGAAUGUAGCAGCAGCCUAUGGGGGCCACGACCCUGAACACAUUUGAUGUAGCUGGGAAAAAGGAGGGAGAGGAGCGAGAACACUGCUUCCCCCAGAGGGGAUUCCACAUUUCUUACGCGGCUGCGAUGCUUAUCCGUAACAAGCAAAAAGGAAGGGACGGGAUGGCCACUCUGUCAAGCAAAAGAAGUAGUGCUCGCCCGUGCCCUACGCCCUAUUACCACGGUAGUGGUCACCCAGGUCUUUACUCAACCCUUACGUACCGCAACGGUUACCGGACUGUCGCAGCUCGAGUCAAUCUAAUGGCCAGUUAGACUGAACACGAGUGCGGAGCUGGGCUCUGUCCGUCGCGAAGCCGACGCUCCGAGGCUUUGCAGGACUGAACCCAGAGUCCCAGGGCAGAACACCCCAGCUUUAUACUUAGCCCGCGCCAACCUCAGCUCCGGCCUCCCUGGCCAGGGACGAUCGCCUCAACAGGACGGCAGCGGGGGAGCCGGGAUCUCAGCCCAGCUAUAUUGUAGCGGUGGUGGUGGGGACAAUGGUGGCCUUACUGGUGUUGGUGUUGGCACUGGGGCUAUGGCAGAGAAAUAAUAUUGCUCGCCACAUACGCUGGUUCAGCAGCCAUCUUGGCUUCCCUGCCAGAGCCACCCCGUUCCAACAGGCUGGCGACACAGGCCCCAUGCAGGAGCUGAUGCAGACGGAGGACGCCAGCGGUGGGGACCGGUCGGCUGUGCCGAAUGGGGAACUUCUCGGCAGCGCUGAAAUGCUAUAUGCUGGGGGACUGGAGAGUGAUGAACCGCCCCCCCUCCAAUCCUUCAACAUCCGGUCAAUGUGCAGCGGCAGUCAAAAAAGCGAUCAGAGUGUUGGGCCUCAUAAAGAAAGGGACAGAAAAUACGACAGAAAAUAUCAUGUUGCCACUACAUAAAGCCUUGGCACCCCCACGUCAUGAAUACUGGGUGCAGAUGCGGUCGCCCCAUCUCAAAAAAGAUGCAUUGUAACUGGAAAAGGUACAGCUGUAGAGCUGUAGAAUGAAAUUGUUUCUUUUUACUUCGAUUGAAGUACUAUUAUUAUGAAGCCUUUACUAAUAUGCCUUUAUUUUUGUAUCAAAUGAACACCCAGAACUUCAUUUUCCAGGCCCUGAAAAAGACCCCAAACGACAGGUGGCUGGAAAUGUUGCCUGGUGAUUUGCACUGGGGUUAAUCAGCGUCCGCUUCCAUCCGCGCAGCCCCAAACUGUCCCUUCUGGCUGGGGGCACAGCUCCCGGUGUUGCCGGCCCAGAGGGCCCGAGGGGGCAACAGU
Mauremys reevesii (Reeves's turtle) is the source of this 1920-nucleotide RNA transcript. RefSeq lists it as uncharacterized. The record is from RefSeq and is a predicted model, not a curated record. The transcript has 5 exons. Lineage: Eukaryota; Metazoa; Chordata; Testudines; Geoemydidae.